AUGGACGGCGCCGUGCAACCGCAGCCGCCCACCCCGCCCGGCCCGGCCCGGCCCGGCCAGGCCCUGCCCACCCCCACGGCGGCGCUGCCGGGCGGUGCGGAGCGUGCGCACUGCGCUCCCGCGUCCCCCUCAGCCCGGCCGGCGGAGUCGCGCGUCCCGGCGGCGCUGAAGAUGGCGGAGGGCGGCGGAGGCGCGGCCCUCCCCUCCUGCUCUUCCUCUUCUUCCUCCUCCUCCUUGAAGGGGCUGCGGGAGCAGAUGGUUGCUGCAGCCCAAGCCAUAGCAGAUGAAAGAAGAAGCCAAAGUGGUGUCAGCCCUAUUGCAGUCCAGACCUCAAUCAACAUAAAGACAGCAACUAAACCAGGUAUAAUUAUUGGUUGUUGUUCUUAACAAAGUUUUGGGUUCAUAGGGAGAGUUACUGGGUGGGAGAAGGAGGGGAACUCAAAACUUCCUUUAAAAGAAGUUUGGUGCUGUUUCCUUGAGAGAUCAGAGCAUGAAAUCCCUAGUUAGAUGGGUCACAGUCAUUGAAGGGAUGGUUCUGAUGACAGCUUUUGGUUUAUGGCUCUCAGAGUUCGACUGGCAAAGUUGCUUAUCAUUCCAGCAGGGUGUCACAAUGAAGAUGAAUGCAUUCCUGGUGUUCUGGGGUGCUUACCAGUUCACUUGUGGCUGAAAUUCAAGUGUUUCUAGGUACAAAGACCGGGGAAGUCUUGGUUCUGCUUAGCCUGCAAAGUAGCUGUCUUGCAGCACUUUGAAGUUGGCAUGAUGCCCAGAUAGAAUUUUCCUAGAUUCCUGUAUUUCUUGACCAUAGGAAUUAAUACGUUCAAGAGCAAGGAUCAGAGCUGAAUUUGGAAUAAGUGUAUGUUCUGACAGCACGUCUGAUGUCUGUUCAGGCUUUCUAUUGACUGGACACAGCCGCCUUUUAAUCUGCUGUACACUUUCUGCUACGCUCAUUAAAAAUAUAGGAUUGACUGGAGUAAGGGAAUGGAAAGAGGGGAAGGGAGGGUAUUCAGCUUCUUCUGAAUUUUCCAUUUGAGCAUUUUAAUCUCUGUAUAGAGUGUGCAGGG
This 1061-nucleotide long non-coding RNA is filed under the name Numida meleagris (helmeted guineafowl). RNAcentral's name for it is "lncRNA (ENSNMEG00000020278.1)". The record is from RNAcentral. Lineage: Eukaryota; Metazoa; Chordata; Aves; Galliformes; Numididae.